Molecule: non-coding RNA, 455 nt
Filed under: Platynereis dumerilii (Dumeril's clam worm)
Lineage: Eukaryota; Metazoa; Annelida; Polychaeta; Phyllodocida; Nereididae
Source: RNAcentral
CAUUAAUGGAGUUCCUGUACGUUAAAUAUUUAGUUAUGUCACUAAGGACCGAGCAUUUUGUCAACAGAUAGCGGCAACAGCAAUGGCCGCCGUACGUAACGUAAAGUACACAUAGCUGGUUGGUGUAUGUAGUGUCAUUUAUGACGUCAAAAUAUUCAUCACAUACUUUGGUGACGUCAUCAGUUCAUGAGGUGACUCAUUUUCGCAAGGUCGUCCGGGAGACCUCGACAGGCGUGAUGCAUACCUGGUGGACCGUUGUCGACGAUCUUGUUCUCUUUCUUCCAUUUCAUCCUGCGAUUCUGGAACCAGAUUUUAAUUUGGCGUUCCGUCAAACACAGCGAGUGAGCGAUCUCUAUCCGCCUCCUUCUGGUCAGGUACCUGUUGAAGUGAAAUUCUUUCUCGAGUUCCAAAGUUUGGUAGCGUGUGUAUGUUUGGCGCCCACGUUUUCUCUCUGG